This 188-nucleotide ribosomal RNA is filed under the name Acidimicrobiia bacterium. RNAcentral describes it as "partial 16S ribosomal RNA". It matches the Rfam family "Bacterial small subunit ribosomal RNA", at positions 1354 to 1533 of the family's 1533-position model. The record is from RNAcentral. Lineage: Bacteria; Bacillati; Actinomycetota; Acidimicrobiia. RNAcentral also lists the same sequence under 1 other name.
ACGCCGGGGUGAAUACGUUCCCGGGCCUUGUACACACCGCCCGUCACACCACGAAAGUCGGCAACACCCAAAGCCGGUGGCCUAACCGCAAGGAAGGAGCCGUCUAAGGUGGGGUCGGUGAUUGGGGUGAAGUCGUAACAAGGUAGCCGUACCGGAAGGUGCGGCUGGAUCACCUCCUUUCUAAGGAG